RNAcentral lists this non-coding RNA (88 nucleotides) under Emergencia timonensis. RNAcentral's name for it is "Cyclic di-GMP-I riboswitch". It matches the Rfam family "c-di-GMP-I riboswitch aptamer". From Rfam's summary of the family: GEMM was predicted in a large-scale screen for bacterial structured RNA regulatory elements. Genes associated with GEMM are involved in a diverse array of functions, including chemotaxis regulation, signal transduction, secretion and chitin. The record is from RNAcentral. Lineage: Bacteria; Bacillati; Bacillota; Clostridia; Peptostreptococcales; Anaerovoracaceae.
AGUAAAAGGCAAAACCGCUGUGAGGCGGUGACGCAAAACUAGAGGGUCUCGGGGCGCAGGGAUCCGCCUUCGAGAUAGCCAGUUGCCA